RNAcentral lists this ribosomal RNA (253 nucleotides) under uncultured bacterium. RNAcentral's name for it is "partial 16S ribosomal RNA". It matches the Rfam family "Bacterial small subunit ribosomal RNA", at positions 524 to 776 of the family's 1533-position model. The record is from RNAcentral.
UACGUAGGAGGCGAGCGUUGUCCGGAAUCACUGGGCGUAAAGCGUGCGCAGGCGGUUUUGUAAGCCAGAUGUGAAAUCCCCGGGCUUAACCUGGGAAUGGCAUUUGGGACUGCAAGGCUGGAGUGUGGCAGAGGAGACUGGAAUUCCUGGUGUAGCAGUGAAAUGCGUAGAUAUCAGGAGGAAUACCGAUGGCGAAGGCAGGUCUCUGGGCUGACACUGACGCUCAUGCACGAAAGCGUGGGGAGCAAACAGG